GUCAUCACUUCAUUUUUUUGCACCUGCGCAUAAAUCUGAGAAACGGGAGUUUGUCAUCAUUUUUUAUCUAGACAUAGGAUAGGUUGUGUGAAAAUAUUACUGAUGUUUAACGUUAAAAAUGGACAAAAAGAUUAAUGCUAAACAACAUUUGACAUGUUUGAACGAACAUAAAUAGAUUAUUUACUAGGUUUUUUUAGCUUUUCGGCGUGAUUUUACCAGCCCCCCUCCACGUUUUGUGGGAGCAUAAUGAACGCUAAGUACUUGGUGUUAUUUGGACAUAAAUUAUGAACUUUGUCAAAAGAAACCACAUUUGUUCCGGACCUGGAAUGCCUUCCGGACCUGGGAUCCUGCCUUCUGAUGGAGAUAAUCAAAGCUCGUCCCCAAGAACUUGGAGAAUGGAGAUGUGAAUGACAUUGCAGAAGAUGAAGUACCAGGCCUGACCUGAGCCCUAGGACCAUGCCUCAGGACUACCUGGUAUGAUGACUCCUUGCUGUCCCCAGUCCACCUGGCCGUGCUGCUGCUCCAGUUUCAACUGUUCUGCCUGUGGCUAUGGAACCCUGACCUGUUCACCGGACGUGCUUGUUGCACCCUCGACAACUACUAUGAUUAUUAUUAAUUGACCAUGCUGGUCAUUUAUGAACAUUUUAACAUCUUGACCAUGUUCUGUUAUAAUAUCCACCCUGCACAGCCAGAAGAGGACUGGCCACUCCUCAUAGCCUGGUUCCUCUCUAGGUUUUUUGGCCUUUCUAGAGAGUUUUUCCUAGGGAGUUUUUCCUAGCCACUGUGCUUCUUUCACAUGCAUUGCUUGCUGUUUGGGGGUUUAGGCUGGGUUUCUGUACAGCACUUUGAGAUAUCAGCUGAUGUACGAAGGGCUAUAUAAAAAAAUUUUGAUUUGAUUUGAUAACAUCUAUAAUGACAUCACAAAAUGCUAAAUGAUAUGACAGGAUUAUUGUUUGGAUCACCACCAACCAUUCCAAAAGUUUGGAUUCCAAAACUAAUGUUCAUGUAUCCAAUCUUCUGAUGUUGAAGUUUUGGCGACAUGGUCUCUCUGUGUAACAUUCAAACAUUCCAUUCUCAAUACUGCAGAGCCCCAAAGAGAGAAAGUUUACGACCGGCGUUAAGUCAUAAAACUGGC
RNAcentral lists this long non-coding RNA (1135 nucleotides) under Salmo salar (Atlantic salmon). Its description in RNAcentral is "lncRNA (ENSSSAG00000091714.1, ENSSSAG00000093589.1)". Lineage: Eukaryota; Metazoa; Chordata; Actinopteri; Salmoniformes; Salmonidae. The record is from RNAcentral.